GUCUCAGGCCGUAUCAGCCUCGAAGGCGCCCGAUCUCGUCUGAUCUCGGAAGCUAAGCAGGGUCGGGCCUGGUUAGGAUCUUGGAUGGGGACCACCUGGGAAUCCCGGGUGCUCGAGGCU
RNAcentral lists this ribosomal RNA (120 nucleotides) under Bison bison bison. The record is from RNAcentral. Lineage: Eukaryota; Metazoa; Chordata; Mammalia; Artiodactyla; Bovidae.